CUAUACAUGACUCUGCGUAUAUCAAUAAGCGGAGGAAAAGAAACUAACAAGGAUUCCCCUAGUAACGGCGAGUGAAGCGGGAAGAGCUCAAAUUUGAAAUCUUAAAGGGUUUUCCCUUGACGAAUUGUAGUUUAAAGAAGUGUUUUCUGUUGAAGGUUUUGGUAAAAGUUCUUUGGAAUAGGACAUCAUAGAGGGUGAGAAUCCCGUACUUGACCAUUAUCUUCAGCUUUGUGAUACACUUUCAAAGAGUCGGAUUGUUUGGGAAUGCAGUCCAAAAUGGGUGGUAAAUUUCAUCUAAAGCUAAAUAUUGGCGAGAGACCGAUAGCGAACAAGUACCGUGAGGGAAAGAUGAAAAGAACUUUGAAAAGAGAGUUAAACAGUACGUGAAAUUGUCAAAAGGGAAGCGUUUGACACCAGUGUUGUUUUUCUGAAAAUCAAUUAAAAUGGACUGAUUUAUGCUAUGCUGUUAGACCUUUAAUCAGCUAUCUGUUACAUUUUUGAGCUUUUCUUUAAUGCACUUUUCAGUUAACAAGUCAACAUCAGUUUCUUUUGCUGUAAAAAGGUCAUUGAGGAAGGUGGCUUUAUAUUCGGCUGAAAGUGUUUAUAGCCUCUUGGCCUAUGCAAUCGGAGAGAUUGAGGUCUGCAGCGUAGACUCCUUCGGGGCUAGAUACAUUUGUGCUAAGUUAUAGCAUUUUUAUAGACAACUUGUUGACUAUAAUUCGUCUUGUAGCUUACUCGCUUAUGUUAUUUUACCUACGCUUAGGAUGUUGACAGCAGUAUAGACUGU
RNAcentral lists this ribosomal RNA (787 nucleotides) under uncultured Neocallimastigales. RNAcentral's name for it is "partial large subunit ribosomal RNA". It matches the Rfam family "Eukaryotic large subunit ribosomal RNA", at positions 22 to 640 of the family's 3401-position model. The record is from RNAcentral. Lineage: Eukaryota; Fungi; Neocallimastigomycota; Neocallimastigomycetes; Neocallimastigales.